GCACUAGGAUGAUGUAUAGCUUCGGCUUAUUAAACUUGGCUAUUUAAUAUGCUCUAUUAAAAUUAUAUUUUAAUAUAGUUUAUUAUUUAGGAUGUCAGUAAUAUAAUUCUGACAUCAUAUUAUUAUAUAGCCUUUAGAGAAAUUUUUCUAAGGGAUUGAGAUAAUUUAUUCUCGUAAACAAGUAUUUUAUCGAUUUUAUCGAUUAAAGUUCUAGAUAGUGUUAAAUGAUUAUGACAAUACACAUAUCUAUAAGUCUUGACCAAAUUACGUGCCAGCAGUCGCGGUAAUACGUAGAAGACUAGUGUUAUUCAUCUUUAAUAGGUUUAAAGGGUACCUAAACGGUAUAAUUAGUCUUAAAUAAGAUACAAUUAUACUAGAGUUAUAUAUGAGAAGGGGAGUAUUUAUGGAGUCAAAGUUGAAAUUUUUUUAUACCAUAAGGACUGGUAACGGCGAAAGCAACCUUUUAUCUAUUAACUGACGUUGAGGGACGAAGGCUCGGGUAACAAACAGGAUUAGAUACCCUAGUAGUCCAAGCAGAUAAUGAUGAAUGCCAUAGACUAGAUAUUUAUUUAGUCUAUAAAUGAAAGUGUAAGCAUUUCACCUCAAGAGUAAUGUGGCAACGCAGGAACUGAAAUCAUUAGACCGUAUUUGAAACCAGUAGUGAAGUAUGUUAUUUAAUUCGUAGGUACGCGAAAAACCUUACCACAACUUGAAUAUUAUCUUAGUAAGAUAUUACAAGUGUUGCACGGCUGUCUUCAGUUAAUGUCGUGAGAUAUUGGUUUAUUCCAUUAAAUUAACGGAAACCCUCGCUUUAUUUAUAUAAUAUUUAAUAAAGCUGUUUGCAGUUACAUUGUUUUUAAUAACAGGGGCUAAGACA
RNAcentral lists this ribosomal RNA (877 nucleotides) under Haplographium delicatum. Its description in RNAcentral is "SSU rRNA". The stretch from base 133 to 877 matches the Rfam family "Bacterial small subunit ribosomal RNA", at positions 1 to 1175 of the family's 1533-position model. Lineage: Eukaryota; Fungi; Ascomycota; Leotiomycetes; Helotiales; Hyaloscyphaceae. The record is from RNAcentral.